GCGAAGUGCUCCGCGGCCGGCGGAGACGCGGGCAGCCAGCGAUGGCCGCGGAGGGGGCGAACUGGGUUCCGGCCCUCGGAGGCUGACGGAAGGCGGUGGCUGAGGAGCGGCGCCUCUGGUUGAGCGCUCGCCGUGUGUCCCGCACCUGUCUGUCCUGCCGCCGCCCGGUAAGGUAGGAAAGGUCAGCGCGCCGGGGUUACGGGUACAGAACCUGGGUUCGAAUCCCGGCCCCGACGUUUCCGCACUACGUGCCGUUGGGCAGGAGCUGACGUCACCUUGCCGGGCCUCAGUUUCCUUCUCUGGUGCGCUGAGGAGGCGGGGCAUGGAACGUGGUCAGCGCUUCAUCGGUGCUGGCUCUUUGAGCAAGCCAGUUCCCGAAGGCUCAGCAUCUCAUUCAUUCAUUAAAAUGUCAUUGAGCGCCUA
Molecule: long non-coding RNA, 423 nt
Organism: Homo sapiens (human)
Lineage: Eukaryota; Metazoa; Chordata; Mammalia; Primates; Hominidae
Source: Ensembl